This 69-nucleotide transfer RNA is filed under the name Arnoglossus polyspilus (many-spotted lefteye flounder). Its description in RNAcentral is "tRNA-Arg". The record is from RNAcentral. Lineage: Eukaryota; Metazoa; Chordata; Actinopteri; Pleuronectiformes; Bothidae.
AGGACGCUAGUUUAAUAAAAACCCUUGAUUUCGGCUCAAGCACUUGUGGAUCGAAACCGCAGCCUCCUA